RNAcentral lists this non-coding RNA (45 nucleotides) under Schistosoma curassoni. Lineage: Eukaryota; Metazoa; Platyhelminthes; Trematoda; Strigeidida; Schistosomatidae. The record is from RNAcentral.
ACCCAACAAACGAGUUCCAAAUGGGACGAAACGCGAGUCCUGGAU